Molecule: transfer RNA, 64 nt
Filed under: Rattus norvegicus (Norway rat)
Lineage: Eukaryota; Metazoa; Chordata; Mammalia; Rodentia; Muridae
Rfam family: tRNA
About the family: Transfer RNA (tRNA) molecules are approximately 80 nucleotides in length. Their secondary structure includes four short double-helical elements and three loops (D, anti-codon, and T loops).
Source: Rfam by way of RNAcentral
GGGGAUUUAGCUCAGUGGUAAGAGCGCUUGCCUAGCAAGUGCAAGGCCCUGAGUUCAGUCCUCA